This is a non-coding RNA of Notechis scutatus (mainland tiger snake), 74 nucleotides long. NCBI's taxonomy places the organism in Eukaryota, Metazoa, Chordata, Lepidosauria, Squamata, Elapidae. The record is from the annotation of a RefSeq genome assembly.
GGUCAGUUAGCUCAAUUGGUUAGAGCGUGGUUCUAAUAAUGCCAAGGUCGCUGGUUCGAUUCCUGUACUGGCUA